RNAcentral lists this ribosomal RNA (433 nucleotides) under uncultured bacterium. Its description in RNAcentral is "partial 16S ribosomal RNA". It matches the Rfam family "Bacterial small subunit ribosomal RNA", at positions 29 to 507 of the family's 1533-position model. The record is from RNAcentral.
AACGAACGCUGGCGGCAGGCUUAACACAUGCAAGUCGAGCGCAUCCUUCGGGGUGAGCGGCGGACGGGUGAGUAACGCGUGGGAACGUGCCCUCUUCUACGGAAUAGCCUCGGGAAACUGAGAGUAAUGCCGUAUACGCCCGCAAGGGGAAAGAUUUAUCGGAGGAGGAUCGGCCCGCGUUGGAUUAGGUAGUUGGUGGGGUAACGGCCUACAAAGCCGACGAUCCAUAGCUGGUUUGAGAGGAUGAUCAGCCACACUGGGACUGAGACACGGCCCAGACUCCUACGGGAGGCAGCAGUGGGGAAUCUUGGACAAUGGGGGCAACCCUGAUCCAGCCAUGCCGCGUGAUCGAUGAAGGCCUUAGGGUUGUAAAGAUCUUUCAGCUGGGAAGAUAAUGACGGUACCAGCAGAAGAAGCCCCGGCUAACUCCGUG